GAUGAAGAACGUAGCGAAAUGCGAUAAGUAGUGUGAAUUGCAGAAUUCAGUGAAUCAUCGAAUCUUUGAACGCACAUUGCGCCCCAUAGUAUUCCGUGGGGCAUGCCUGUUCGAGCGUCAUUUACCCCCUCAAGCUCCGCUUGGUGUUGGGCGUCUGUCCCGCUUCGCGCGCGGACUCGCCCCAAAGGUAUUGGCAGCGGUCGUGCCAGCUUCUCGCGCAGCACAUUGCGCUUCUCGAGGCACCGGUGGGCCCGCGUCCAUCAAGCUCACCCCCCCAGUUUGACCUCGGAUCAGGUAGGGAUACCCGCUGAACUUAAGCAUAUCAAUAAGCGGAGGA
Molecule: unclassified non-coding RNA, 337 nt
Filed under: soil metagenome
Description: partial contains 5.8S ribosomal RNA, internal transcribed spacer 2, and large subunit ribosomal RNA
Rfam family: 5.8S ribosomal RNA (bases 1-120)
Source: RNAcentral